AACCUGCGGAGGGAUCAUUACACAAUAAAAUACGAAGGCCGUUCGCGGCUGGACUAUUUAUUACCCUUGUCUUUUGCGCACUUGUUGUUUCCUGGGCGGGUUCGCUCGCCACCAGGACCACAAUAUAAACCUUUUUUAUGCAGUUGCAAUCAGCGUCAGUAUAACAAAUGUAAAUCAUUUACAACUUUCAACAACGGAUCUCUUGGUUCUGGCAUCGAUGAAGAACGCAGCGAAAUGCGAUACGUAGUGUGAAUUGCAGAAUUCAGUGAAUCAUCGAAUCUUUGAACGCACAUUGCGCCCUUUGGUAUUCCAAAGGGCAUGCCUGUUCGAGCGUCAUUUGUACCCUCAAGCUUUGCUUGGUGUUGGGCGUUUUUGUCUUUGGCCCGCCAAAGACUCGCCUUAAAAUGAUUGGCAGCCGGCCUACUGGUUUCGCAGCGCAGCACAUUUUUGCGCUUGCAAUCAGCAAAAGAGGACGGCAAUCCAUCAAGACUCCUUCUCACGUUUGACCUCGGAUCAGGUAGGGAUACCCGCUGAACUUAAGCAUAUCAAUAAGCGGAGG
Molecule: ribosomal RNA, 559 nt
Filed under: Bipolaris tetramera
Lineage: Eukaryota; Fungi; Ascomycota; Dothideomycetes; Pleosporales; Pleosporaceae
Description: eukaryotic LSU rRNA
Rfam family: 5.8S ribosomal RNA (bases 183-336)
Source: RNAcentral